UGGGGAAUAUUGGACAAUGGGCGCAAGCCUGAUCCAGCCAUGCCGCGUGAGUGAUGAAGGCCUUAGGGUUGUAAAGCUCUUUCGCCGGUGAAGAUAAUGACGGUAACCGGAGAAGAAGCCCCGGCUAACUUCGUGCCAGCAGCCGCGGUAAUACGAAGGGGGCUAGCGUUGCUCGGAAUCACUGGGCGUAAAGCGCACGUAGGCGGAUCGUUAAGUCAGGGGUGAAAUCCUGGAGCUCAACUCCAGAACUGCCCUUGAUACUGGCGAUCUCGAGUUCGAGAGAGGUUGGUGGAACUCCGAGUGUAGAGGUGAAAUUCGUAGAUAUUCGGAAGAACACCAGUGGCGAAGGCGGCCAACUGGCUCGAUACUGACGCCGAGGUGCGAAAGCGUGGGGAGCAAACAGGAUUAGAUACCCUGGUAGUCCACGCCGUAAACGAUGGAUGCUAGCCGUUGGGGGGUUUACCUCUCAGUGGCGCAGCUAACGCCUUAAGCAUCCCGCCUGGGGAGUACGGUCGCAAGAUUAAAACUCAAAUGAAUUGACGGGGUCAUAGCUG
Molecule: ribosomal RNA, 554 nt
Filed under: uncultured bacterium
Lineage: Bacteria
Description: partial 16S ribosomal RNA
Rfam family: Bacterial small subunit ribosomal RNA
Source: RNAcentral